UCCGGUUUGACACCGGCAGUCCCCUUAGAGUCCCCGGCAUAACCCGAUGGUAACUAAGGGCAAAGGUUUCGCUCGUUAAGGGACUUAACCCGACAUCUCACGACACGAGCUGACGACAGCCAUGCAGCACCUGUACUAGUUCCACCCCGAAGGGCGUACCCUGCUUUCACAGGGAUAAUCCUAGCGAGUCAAGCCCAGGUAAGGUUCUGCGCGUUGCUUCGAAUUGAACCACAUGCUCCACCGCUUGUGUGAGCCCCCGUCAAUUCCUUUGAGUUUUAGCCUUGCGACCGUACUUCCCAGGCGGGGUGCUUAAUGCGUUAGCGUCGGCACUGUAGGGGUCAAUACCCACAACACCUAGCACCCAUCGUUUACAGCGUGGACUAC
This 384-nucleotide unclassified non-coding RNA is filed under the name uncultured Tepidisphaerales bacterium. RNAcentral describes it as "contains 16S-23S intergenic spacer region". The record is from RNAcentral. Lineage: Bacteria; Pseudomonadati; Planctomycetota; Phycisphaerae; Tepidisphaerales.